This is an RNA transcript of Juglans regia (Persian walnut), 2150 nucleotides long. It is a transcript of the gene named N-glycosylase/DNA lyase OGG1, with no coding region annotated. Lineage: Eukaryota; Viridiplantae; Streptophyta; Magnoliopsida; Fagales; Juglandaceae. The record is from RefSeq and is a predicted model, not a curated record. The transcript has 6 exons.
AUUGAUCCAAGGCCGCUCAACGUCAACGCUCCCUCGUGAGGCCGAGUCCCGAUCGAAGCAUUCCUCUUACUUUCACACCCCGGGAGGAGCUUGCGGUCGCCGGUAGCGGAACCGAGAGAAUCUCUCAUUCGUUGCCGCCAUUUUAAUGCACUCACCGAGACCGAGCUCUGUCCCAAUCAUGAAGAGGUCCAGACCGACCCCACCACCCACACCGCCGCUUUCCACUGCUAAAUUCACCGCACCCAUCUUCAAAAAACCCAAAUCCAAAGCCAUGAUCCCACCCAAAUGGGUUCCACUCGGUCUCAGCCAAUCGGAGCUGUCCCUGCCCCUCACUUUCCCCACCGGACAAACCUUCCGGUGGAAACAAACUGGUCCUCUUCAGUACACCGGUGUCGUCGACUGCUACCUCAUCUCCCUCAAGCAUCUCCAAGACGGUGAAGUCUCCUACUGCUUCCACCACCAGGCCACCACCGGGGAUGAGAACAACGCCAGGGUGGCUCUGCUUGAUUUUCUCAAUAUGCGUAUUUCGCUCAGUGAAAUCUGGGAGGUCUUCUCGGCCUCAGACCCGAGGUUCGCCGAGCUGGCGCUCCACCUGGGCGGGGCCCGGGUGCUCAGGCAAGACCCGCUUGAGUGUUUGAUACAGUUUCUGUGUUCCUCUAAUAAUAACAUAACGAGAAUUACUAAAAUGGUGAACUUUAUCUCAUCUCUGGGGAAUUGUCUGGGGACCGUUGAAGGCUUUGAGUUCUACCAGUUCCCAGGGCUGGAGCGGUUAGCGAUGGUUUCAGAGGACGAGCUUAGGGAGGCCGGUUUCGGUUACAGGGCUAAAUACAUCAUUGGCACUAUAAAUGCUUUGCAAUCAAAACCUGGUGGAGGUACUGAAUGGCUUUCAUCUCUUCGAAAUUUGGAUCUUCAUGAGGUUAUCGAUGCUCUCUCUACUCUACCUGGAGUUGGUCCUAAGGUGGCAGCAUGCAUAGCUCUCUUCUCUCUUGAUCAACACCAUGCCAUUCCUGUUGAUACACAUGUGUGGCAGAUUGCUACAAGAUACCUGUUACCAGAACUUGCCGGUGCCCGCCUGACACCCAGGCUCUGCAGCCGUGUGGCAGAGGCAUUUGUGAGCAAAUAUGGCAAAUAUGCUGGCUGGGCUCAGACUUUGCUUUUCAUUGCUGAAUUACCUUCACAGAAGGCCCUCCUGCCAUCACAAUUUUGUAGUACCAAAGAAAAGAAAGCUGCCAAGAGUAAGAAUGGCAAAACAUUCUGUGCUAAUUAAAGAUGUCAAGAUCAAAAUGCAAGGGUGUUGUCAGAAAUAACAUUUUUCAUGGUUAAGGCAUCUGGAUGUUGAACCAUGGUGUCAUUUGGCUCAAGUGGAGAGACAAUGAAAUCAAAACUACAUAUCUUUUUCAGAUGCUCCUUUAGGUACUUUCUUCAUUACCCAUGGCAGGCAGCAAAUUCUUGAUGUUUGUGAGCACAUGUAACUCUAACCUCAAUCGCCUUGUAUUACGGCCUAUCCGGAUAUACUGUGAGCUGGACAUUUUAAGUUAGGCAUUUAGUCAUUCUUUAUCAUUUUAUUCGAAUGAUGGUAUAAUUUUGACAUUAUUAAUUGUUUAAAGAUGUGUAAAUAAUAUGUAAUUGUUGGUGAUUGUUUACGGUUGUCACUUUGGUAAAACUCUAAUGAUGACAAAAUGCAGGAGAAAAGAAAAACCCUUACUCUUUGCAUGAUCAUAAAAGUGGUCAUUUUCAUUUGUAAUUAGGCAAAGGCGCCUUAAUUAUUUGGCUCAUCGUUGGAAAAAGAAGAAAAUCAUCCUAUGUUGUCUACCCAUUUUCCCCUUUGCAAAUGGGGAUUGGAAAAGCUUCAUAAUCCUGAAAUUAGAGCUCAAACAAAGUUCCUUGCAGUGCGAAUUCAGAAGCGUGCGAACUAGCAAGACGGUUUGCAUCUGCCUCUCGAAGACAAAAGCUUACUCGUUGCAUUGCCAAUUACUUUCUCAAGAUGAUUCAAUAGAUGGUUAUUAAUAAGUUGACAGGGUAUCACCUAUUUUUGAAAGAAGUUGGUUCCAUAGAGAGAAAAACCCCACUGAUUUCCAUAAAGCAAUACAUUUUCUCUUUUGUGUGUGAUAUAUAUAGUUGAAAUAUACCUCAAAGUCUUCUUCUUUCCU